This 459-nucleotide ribosomal RNA is filed under the name uncultured bacterium. RNAcentral's name for it is "partial 16S ribosomal RNA". It matches the Rfam family "Bacterial small subunit ribosomal RNA", at positions 29 to 523 of the family's 1533-position model. The record is from RNAcentral.
AACGAACGCUGGCGGCAGGCCUAACACAUGCAAGUCGAACGGGCGUAGCAAUACGUCAGUGGCAGACGGGUGAAUAACACGUGGGAACCUUCCUCGUAGUGCGGAACAACUCAGGGAAACUUGAGCUAAUACCGCAUACGCCCCGGAGCAAUCCGGGGGAAAGAUUUAUCGCUAUGAGACGGGCCCGCGUCCGAUUAGCUAGUUGGUGGUGUAACGGACUACAAAGGCGACGAUCGGUAGCUGAUCUGAGAGGAUGAUCAGCCACACUGGGACUGAGACACGGCCCAGACUCCGACGGGAGGCAGCAGUGGGGAAUCUUGGACAAUGGGCGAAAGCCUGAUCCAGCCAUGCCGCGUGAGUGAAGAAGGCCUUAGGGUUGUAAAGCUCUUUUGGCAGGGACGAUAAUGACGGUACCUGCAGAAUAAGCCCCGGCAAACUUCGUGCCAGCCGCCGCAGUAA